RNAcentral lists this ribosomal RNA (497 nucleotides) under uncultured bacterium. RNAcentral describes it as "partial 16S ribosomal RNA". It matches the Rfam family "Bacterial small subunit ribosomal RNA", at positions 28 to 507 of the family's 1533-position model. The record is from RNAcentral.
GAUGAACGCUGGCGGCGUGCCUAAUACAUGCAAGUCGAGCGAACAGACGAGGAGCUUGCUCCUCUGACGUUAGCGGCGGACGGGUGAGUAACACGUGGAUAACCUACCUAUAAGACUGGGAUAACUUCGGGAAACCGGAGCUAAUACCGGAUAAUAUAUUGAACCGCAUGGUUCAAUAGUGAAAGACGGUUUUGCUGUCACUUAUAGAUGGAUCCGCGCCGCAUUAGCUAGUUGGUAAGGUAACGGCUUACCAAGGCAACGAUGCGUAGCCGACCUGAGAGGGUGGUCGGCCACACUGGAACUGAGACACGGUCCAGACUCCUACGGGAGGCAGCAGUAGGGAAUCUUACGCAAUGGGCGAGAGCCUGACGGAGCAACGCCGCGUGAGUGAUGAAGGUCUUCGGAUCGUAAAACUCUGUUAUUAGUGAAGAACAAAUGUGUAAGUAACUAUGCACGUCUUGACGGUACCUAAUCAGAAAGCCACGGCUAACUACGUG